RNAcentral lists this ribosomal RNA (465 nucleotides) under Vreelandella stevensii. RNAcentral's name for it is "partial 16S ribosomal RNA". It matches the Rfam family "Bacterial small subunit ribosomal RNA", at positions 338 to 795 of the family's 1533-position model. The record is from RNAcentral. Lineage: Bacteria; Pseudomonadati; Pseudomonadota; Gammaproteobacteria; Oceanospirillales; Halomonadaceae.
CCUACGGGUGGCAGCAGUGGGGAAUAUUGGACAAUGGGGGCAACCCUGAUCCAGCCAUGCCGCGUGUGUGAAGAAGUCCCUCGGGUUGUAAAGCACUUUCAGUGAGGAAGAACGCCUGGUGGUUAAUACCCAUCAGGAAAGACAUCACUCACAGAAGAAGCACCGGCUAACUCCGUGCCAGCAGCCGCGGUAAUACGGAGGGUGCGAGCGUUAAUCGGAAUUACUGGGCGUAAAGCGCGCGUAGGUGGCUUGAUAAGCCGGUUGUGAAAGCCCCGGGCUCAACCUGGGAACGGCAUCCGGAACUGUCAAGCUAGAGUGCAGGAGAGGAAGGUAGAAUUCCCGGUGUAGCGGUGAAAUGCGUAGAGAUCGGGAGGAAUACCAGUGGCGAAGGCGGCCUUCUGGACUGACACUGACACUGAGGUGCGAAAGCGUGGGUAGCAAACAGGAUUAGAUACCCCGGUAGUC